AAUCAACGCUGGCGGCGUGCCUAACACAUGCAAGUCGCACGAGAAAGGGUCUUCGGAUCUGAGUAAAGUGGCGCACGGGUGAGUAACACGUGAAUUAUCUACCUUCGAGUGGGGAAUAACUUCGGGAAACCGAGGCUAAUACCGCAUAAUAUCUACGGAUCAAAGCAGUAAUGCGCUUGAAGAGGAGUUCGCGGCAGAUUAGUUAGUUGGCGGGGUAAUGGCCCACCAAGACGAUGAUCUGUAUCCGGCCUGAGAGGGCGCACGGACACACUGGAACUGCAACACGGUCCAGACUCCUACGGGAGGCAGCAGUGGGGAAUUUUGCGCAAUGGGGGAAACCCUGACGCAGCUACGCCGCGUGGAGGAUGAAGUCUCUUGGGACGUAAACUCCUUUCGAUAGGGAAGAUUAUGACGGUACCUAUAGAAGAAGCCCCGGCUAACUUCGUGCCAGCAGCCGCGGUAA
This 463-nucleotide ribosomal RNA is filed under the name uncultured bacterium. RNAcentral describes it as "partial 16S ribosomal RNA". It matches the Rfam family "Bacterial small subunit ribosomal RNA", at positions 32 to 523 of the family's 1533-position model. The record is from RNAcentral.